Molecule: ribosomal RNA, 817 nt
Filed under: Cellulosimicrobium funkei
Lineage: Bacteria; Bacillati; Actinomycetota; Actinomycetes; Micrococcales; Promicromonosporaceae
Description: bacterial SSU rRNA
Rfam family: Bacterial small subunit ribosomal RNA
Source: RNAcentral
AGUCGAACGAUGAUGCCCAGCUUGCUGGGUUGAUUAGUGGCGAACGGGUGAGUAACACGUGAGUAACCUGCCCUUGACUUCGGGAUAACUCCGGGAAACCGGGGCUAAUACCGGAUAUGAGCCGUCCUCGCAUGGGGGUGGUUGGAAAGUUUUUCGGUCAGGGAUGGGCUCGCGGCCUAUCAGCUUGUUGGUGGGGUGAUGGCCUACCAAGGCGACGACGGGUAGCCGGCCUGAGAGGGCGACCGGCCACACUGGGACUGAGACACGGCCCAGACUCCUACGGGAGGCAGCAGUGGGGAAUAUUGCACAAUGGGCGAAAGCCUGAUGCAGCGACGCCGCGUGAGGGAUGACGGCCUUCGGGUUGUAAACCUCUUUCAGCAGGGAAGAAGCGCAAGUGACGGUACCUGCAGAAGAAGCGCCGGCUAACUACGUGCCAGCAGCCGCGGUAAUACGUAGGGCGCAAGCGUUGUCCGGAAUUAUUGGGCGUAAAGAGCUCGUAGGCGGUUUGUCGCGUCUGGUGUGAAAACUCGAGGCUCAACCUCGAGCUUGCAUCGGGUACGGGCAGACUAGAGUGCGGUAGGGGAGACUGGAAUUCCUGGUGUAGCGGUGGAAUGCGCAGAUAUCAGGAGGAACACCGAUGGCGAAGGCAGGUCUCUGGGCCGCAACUGACGCUGAGGAGCGAAAGCAUGGGGAGCGAACAGGAUUAGAUACCCUGGUAGUCCAUGCCGUAAACGUUGGGCACUAGGUGUGGGGCUCAUUCCACGAGUUCCGUGCCGCAGCAAACGCAUUAAGUGCCCCGCCUGGGGAGUACGGCCGC